AAAAUGCGAGACGUAACGUGAAUUGCAGGACUUUGUGAACGUUAAUUCUUCGAACGCACAUUGCGGCUUCGGGUUAACUGAAGCCAUGCCUGGUUGAGGGUCAGUUGAAAUAAAAAAUCGUAAUCGYGCAUUGAUUACGGAUUGUCUGGUUUUAACGGCCUUGUGUGCCGUUUCCGGAUAAAGUUGAGACCAGAUGUGUGCGCUCAUUUGACCGGUGCAAGCAACGCUUUGCCGAGUUGGAGCAUCCGACUUGUUUAGUCGUGCGCCGCAGCUGCACAAUGGCUAAGCAUGGUCAACCAACGGCGUUUGAUGGCAAAGAAAGACUGGUACAAAAGUGCGCAAGCGCAUAGACACGUCUGUGGCCGAAAAAGAACGCACCCAAGUGUGUUUUUGCUCAUUCUUUUGACCUCAGCUCAGACAAGAUUACCCGCUGAACUUAA
This 440-nucleotide ribosomal RNA is filed under the name Macrobiotus paulinae. Its description in RNAcentral is "eukaryotic LSU rRNA". The record is from RNAcentral. Lineage: Eukaryota; Metazoa; Tardigrada; Eutardigrada; Parachela; Macrobiotidae.